RNAcentral lists this ribosomal RNA (426 nucleotides) under uncultured Chlamydiae bacterium. RNAcentral's name for it is "bacterial SSU rRNA". It matches the Rfam family "Bacterial small subunit ribosomal RNA", at positions 958 to 1385 of the family's 1533-position model. Lineage: Bacteria; Pseudomonadati; Chlamydiota; Chlamydiia. The record is from RNAcentral.
AACGCGAAGAACCUUACCCAGGCUCGAAAUGUAGGUGGCGAUAUCAGAGAUGAUAUUUUCCGUAAGGACGCCUAUAUAGGUGCUGCAUGGCUGUCGUCAGCUCGUGCCGUGAGGUGUUGGGUUAAGUCCCGCAACGAGCGCAACCCUUAUCAUUAGUUGCCAACACGCAAGGUGGGGACUCUAGUGAGACUGCCUAGGUUAACUAGGAGGAAGGUGAGGAUGACGUCAAGUCCGCAUGGCCUUUAUGUCUGGGGCUACACACGUGCUACAAUGGUCGGUACAGAAGGGAGCAAGACCGUGAGGUGGAGCAAAUCCGUAAAACCGAUCUCAGUUCAGAUUGUAGUCUGCAACUCGACUACAUGAAGCUGGAAUUGCUAGUAAUGACGUGUCAGCAACAACGUCGUGAAUACGUUCCCGGGCCUUGUA